UUAAAUUGAAGAGUUUGAUCAUGGCUCAGAUUGAACGCUGGCGGCAGGCCUAACACAUGCAAGUCGAACGGUAACAGGAAGAAGCUUGCUG
Molecule: ribosomal RNA, 91 nt
Filed under: Escherichia coli
Lineage: Bacteria; Pseudomonadati; Pseudomonadota; Gammaproteobacteria; Enterobacterales; Enterobacteriaceae
Description: partial 16S ribosomal RNA
Rfam family: Bacterial small subunit ribosomal RNA
Source: RNAcentral